UACGUGGGGGGCAAGCGUUGUUCGGAAUUACUGGGCGUAAAGGGUUCGUAGGUGGCUUGCUAAGUCAGACGUGAAAUCCCUCAGCUUAACUGGGGAACUGCGUCUGAUACUGGCGAGCUUGAGUGCAGGAGAGGAACGCAGAAUUCCAGGUGUAGCGGUGAAAUGCGUAGAUAUCUGGAGGAAUACCGGUGGCGAAGGCGGCGUUCUGGACUGCAACUGACACUGAUGAACGAAAGCCAGGGGAGCAAACGGG
RNAcentral lists this ribosomal RNA (253 nucleotides) under uncultured bacterium. RNAcentral describes it as "partial 16S ribosomal RNA". It matches the Rfam family "Bacterial small subunit ribosomal RNA", at positions 524 to 776 of the family's 1533-position model. The record is from RNAcentral.